GAUGAACGCUGGCGGCGUGCCUAAUACAUGCAAGUCGAGCGAACGGACGAGAAGCUUGCUUCUCUGAUGUUAGCGGCGGACGGGUGAGUAACACGUGGAUAACCUACCUAUAAGACUGGGAUAACUUCGGGAAACCGGAGCUAAUACCGGAUAAUAUUUUGAACCGCAUGGUUCAAAAGUGAAAGACGGUCUUGCUGUCACUUAUAGAUGGAUCCGCGCUGCAUUAGCUAGUUGGUAAGGUAACGGCUUACCAAGGCAACGAUGCAUAGCCGACCUGAGGGGGUGAUCGGCCACACUGGAACUGAGACACGGUCCAGACUCCUACGGGAGGAAGCAGUAGGGAAUCUUCCGCAAUGGGCGAAAGCCUGACGGAGCAACGCCGCGUGAGUGAUGAAGGUCUUCGGAUCGUAAAACUCUGUUAUUAGGGAAGAACAUAUGUGUAAGUAACUGUGCACAUCUUGACGGUACCUAAUCAGAAAGCCACGGCUAACUACGUG
This 497-nucleotide ribosomal RNA is filed under the name uncultured bacterium. RNAcentral's name for it is "partial 16S ribosomal RNA". It matches the Rfam family "Bacterial small subunit ribosomal RNA", at positions 28 to 507 of the family's 1533-position model. The record is from RNAcentral.